UGUUGACCUCGGAUCAGGUAUGAGUACCCGCUGGUCUUAAGCAUAUCAAUAAGCCGGAGGAAA
RNAcentral lists this ribosomal RNA (63 nucleotides) under Trichoderma harzianum. RNAcentral's name for it is "partial 28S ribosomal RNA". The record is from RNAcentral. Lineage: Eukaryota; Fungi; Ascomycota; Sordariomycetes; Hypocreales; Hypocreaceae.